UCAUAAGAUGGGGACGUUAAGCAUGCAGCAACUACAGUCAUUUGUUCUCAGAGGUCUGGACCAAAGAGAAACAAGAAAAGCUGGAGUCACACUACCAAAGGCCGAAGCUGAGCAACAGAGCUCUGGAGUCAGCUGCCUGGGUUCAGCAUGCAGCACUGCCGUGGACGAUCUGUCUCUCUUGCAUAUAUGACUUACCAGUUUUACUUUCAGGCUCUCCAUUUCUAAUUAAACGAGAUGCAGAAA
This 243-nucleotide long non-coding RNA is filed under the name Pan troglodytes (chimpanzee). Its description in RNAcentral is "lincRNA". Lineage: Eukaryota; Metazoa; Chordata; Mammalia; Primates; Hominidae. The record is from RNAcentral.